Cyprinus carpio (common carp) is the source of this 1003-nucleotide long non-coding RNA. NCBI's taxonomy places the organism in Eukaryota, Metazoa, Chordata, Actinopteri, Cypriniformes, Cyprinidae. The record is from Ensembl.
CCAAGCAGAUGUCCACUUUAGGUCAGCUGGUUGUUGAAGGUGGAAGUCGUUCAUACUCAGAGGUUGUGGGUCAUCCCAGUAUCCUGCGACCCCAGCCUGUCCCAUGCAUAGCAAUACCUCCUCUGUGCCAUGCGGUGCGUGACCCUGGCUGCGCCUGCCAGACCUUCUGCCAGCCCCAGCUCUGCUGCCUUCACUGCAGACCUACUCAAUCCGUCCCUUUGGAUAAAUUCCCUGCUCAAUGUCCUCAGGCCACCAGGCGGAGCUCCGCGCCGUCCCUUCACAGCUGCUGGGAGGCUGAUGCAUCUGUCCCGGUGCAUCCACCAGGAGCUCAGCCUAUACAGCCGUCCACCUCUCACCCUGGAUCUGACCUUGUCCAGCAUGGAGCCAGCUCAGCUUCACCUAGGCAGCCUGUCGGAUCCAACAACCACCCGCUCCCUGCUAAUUCCAACCAAGCUGCCAUGGACGGGAGAAACUCUUCACCAGGCCAGCCUCCCUGUGAAAGAGCGCAAACAUCUGCGCAUGAAGCAGCCACAGGGCAAGAAGCAUCACCAGACAGAGAGCUGCCGCAGGUCCACACUCAGGCUCAAGUGCAGAUGACGACAGAAACCAGCAACCAGCCCAUGAUUGAAUUGCAGCCUAUCAUUGCUCGCAUUGAUGAUAACAGGGUGAGUUUAAUUAAUGUGUUAGUGUUUAACUGUUUUUUGCAGAGCAAUACCUUUGCUCUCAGUGUGCUCAGUACUGACCACAAUCCUCAGGCCUGGUGCUCUUUAGUGCUUGCAAAGGUUGCAUGUCAACCACGCUGUUAACUGGUCUACACCACAAGUCCUAGCAGAUGAAAAGGCCAUUGAGGAGCACUGCAAAUGUGCUGAAGCGUUGAAGAGAACUAAAGUGUGGGGUCCUUACAGUAUACUGACUUUGAUUUUGGUAGAUGAUAAAUAGUUUUUCAGUGUCAAGAUUUUAGGUUAAAACGUCUAUGACUGAAUGAAUGUAAAGUGUGCAUUUU